GAGUUUGAUCAUGGCUCAGAUUGAACGCUGGCGGCAGGCUUAACACAUGCAAGUCGAACGGUAGCAGGAGAAAGCUUGCUUUCUUGCUGACGAGUGGCGGACGGGUGAGUAAUGCUUGGGAAUCUGGCUUAUGGAGGGGGAUAACUACUGGAAACGGUAGCUAAUACCGCGUAAUAUCGAGAGAUUAAAGACUGGGACCUACGGGCCAGUUGCCAUAAGAUGAGCCCAAGUGGGAUUAGGUAGUUGGUGGGGUAAAGGCCUACCAAGCCCGCGAUCUCUAGCUGGUCUGAGAGGAUGACCAGCCACACUGGAACUGAGACACGGUCCAGACUCCUACGGGAGGCAGCAGUGGGGAAUAUUGCACAAUGGGGGGAACCCUGAUGCAGCCAUGCCGCGUGAAUGAAGAAGGCCUUCGGGUUGUAAAGUUCUUUCGGUGGUGAGGAAGGUAUCAACUUUAAUAGAGUUGGUAAUGACGUUCCCGAAAG
Molecule: ribosomal RNA, 485 nt
Filed under: Pasteurellaceae bacterium canine oral taxon 080
Lineage: Bacteria; Pseudomonadati; Pseudomonadota; Gammaproteobacteria; Pasteurellales; Pasteurellaceae
Description: bacterial SSU rRNA
Rfam family: Bacterial small subunit ribosomal RNA
Source: RNAcentral